AGCCCCGUGGUGUAGCGGUCAAGCAUACUGGACUUUGGAUCCGGCGACCCAGGUUCGAACCCUGGCGGGGCUA
RNAcentral lists this transfer RNA (73 nucleotides) under Candidatus Woesearchaeota archaeon. Its description in RNAcentral is "tRNA-Gln". It matches the Rfam family "tRNA". From Rfam's summary of the family: Transfer RNA (tRNA) molecules are approximately 80 nucleotides in length. The record is from RNAcentral. Lineage: Archaea; Nanobdellati; Candidatus Woesearchaeota.